Nicotiana tabacum (common tobacco) is the source of this 1413-nucleotide non-coding RNA. NCBI's taxonomy places the organism in Eukaryota, Viridiplantae, Streptophyta, Magnoliopsida, Solanales, Solanaceae. The record is from RefSeq and is a predicted model, not a curated record.
AUCUUAUCCAAGAUUAAUUAUUCCGUAUUUACUAUCUUUAUACCUCUCCAUUAUAAUUUCGGAAUUAUACCAUAAUUAUCUCCUAACCAAAUAUGAGAUAAACUUCUUAAAUUUAAUUUCAAAUUAGUUAUUUCUGGUUACUUCCUCGAAAUAAGAAAGAGCAUUUUUUCCUAUUUAUUUGACCCUCUUGUAAGCCACUUCUUCAGCUUGAAGUCAGAAGUCAUUGGGCGGAAGUGGAGAAACAACACUUGCUAAAAGAAAUUCCUUUUAGCAACUCAAUAUUAGGCUUUGGAGUUUUUUUAGCCAGAGUUGUUUUCCCUCUUCUCAACUCUGUAGAUCUGCAGAACUUUAUUUCUCUAUUUAUGCCUUUUUCACUUUUUUUGUUGAGUAAAAGUUAUUUUUUCGGGAUCUGUUCAGAUAUUUUCCUUAUUCCGUUUGGGGAUCACUGAGAAGUUCAUUUCAUCUAAUAUAGGUUGAUUCCUACGGCGAAAUUGAAUUAGUGUUUCCAAUUUCUCGUCUCCUCAAUUUUUUUUUGUUUCAGUUUAGGUUGCUUGAGCUUGCUAACUGUAUUCUUCAUUUUUUUUUGUGAGCGCGUACUGGUCAGGAUGAUGAAGAAGACUAUAAACAACCAAGCCAUGGAACUGAGCUACCUGCUUGAAAAAAUUGAUACAUGUCCAGGUUCAAAAGGAAAAUUCUGCCCCUGUUGCGGUCAAGGAAAAUUAUUGGGCGUGAAAGAUAAGAUGUGUAUUACACUAUUACAAACUUGUUACUAUGUCAGGCUUAAUAUAAGCUCCUUGUAAUAUCUGAUGUAUUUUCUCCAAGACUGAUUGUUCUUCCUCUAGAAAACUACAUCAAAUUAAACAUAUGAUACAAAACGUUUACGAAGACGACUUACAAGUGAUGGGCUCAGUAACAAUGGAGGAGUGAUGAUGGGAAUGAUAACGAGAGUAGAGAAAAUGGUGAUGCAGAGCUCUGUGAAGCCAAUAAUAGAGAAACUCGACAGGACCGAUAUGCAUCAAGGCAGUUAUUAUGAUCCCAUCAGUCCUCCACAAAGGCAAGUGAUGAGUCUGUUGGAACUUCAGUGAGCGAAACGGAACAGAAACGUGACCGUAAUGUAUCGGAGUCAAAGCGAGGAGUCCCUCGUAUCGGGGCUCGGGCAAAGCACCUGCCCUCGGGGGUAUAGGGGCAAUGUCCUCCAGGUUCGGUUCGAGAAUCAAAAUUUCGGAGAGCAUUAUCAAACAACUGCACACAACUAACAAAGGGCCGUGAUGUCCGUGUCCGACCAUAUAUCACGGCGUGAAUCUCGACCCGUAUUGAUAAAAAAUCAGUGAUUACCGAAACAAAAGAUUUUUACCUUUCUUAGAAUUGUACUUAGGGUAAAAUUCCCAUACUAUAUAAAGGGGGAGUUUAUUA